AUGAAGGACGUUACUAACGACGAUAUGCUUUGGGGAGCUGUAAGUAAGCUUUGAUCCAGAGAUUUCCGAAUGGGGAAACCCAGCAUGAGUUAUGUCAUGUUAUCGAUAUGUGAAUACAUAGCAUAUCAGAAGGCACACCCGGAGAACUGAAACAUCUUAGUACCCGGAGGAAGAGAAAGAAAAUUCGAUUCCCUUAGUAGCGGCGAGCGAAACGGGAAGAGCCCAAACCAACAAGCUUGCUUGUUGGGGUUGUAGGACACUCUAUACGGAGUUACAAAGGACGACAUUAGACGAAUCAUCUGGAAAGAUGAAUCAAAGAAGGUAAUAAUCCUGUAGUCGAAAAUGUUGUCUCUCUUGAGUGGAUCCUGAGUACGACGGAGCACGUGAAAUUCCGUCGGAAUCUGGGAGGACCAUCUCCUAAGGCUAAAUACUCUCUAGUGACCGAUAGUGAACCAGUACCGUGAGGGAAAGGUGAAAAGCACCCCGGAAGGGGAGUGAAAUAGAACCUGAAACCGUGUGCUUACAAGUAGUCAGAGCCCGUUAAUGGGUGAUGGCGUGCCUUUUGUAGAAUGAACCGGCGAGUUACGAUUUGAUGCAAGGUUAAGCAGUAAAUGUGGAGCCGUAGCGAAAGCGAGUCUGAAUAGGGCGUUUAGUAUUUGGUCGUAGACCCGAAACCAGGUGAUCUACCCUUGGUCAGGUUGAAGUUCAGGUAACACUGAAUGGAGGACCGAACCGACUUACGUUGAAAAGUGAGCGGAUGAACUGAGGGUAGCGGAGAAAUUCCAAUCGAACCUGGAGAUAGCUGGUUCUCUCCGAAAUAGCUUUAGGGCUAGCCUCAAGUGAUGAUUAUUGGAGGUAGAGCACUGUUUGGACGAGGGGCCCCUCUCGGGUUACCGAAUUCAGACAAACUCCGAAUGCCAAUUAAUUUAACUUGGGAGUCAGAACAUGGGUGAUAAGGUCCGUGUUCGAAAGGGAAACAGCCCAGACCACCAGCUAAGGUCCCAAAAUAUAUGUUAAGUGGAAAAGGAUGUGGCGUUGCCCAGACAACUAGGAUGUUGGCUUAGAAGCAGCCAUCAUUUAAAGAGUGCGUAAUAGCUCACUAGUCGAGUGACACUGCGCCGAAAAUGUACCGGGGCUAAACAUAUUACCGAAGCUGUGGAUUGUCCUUUGGACAAUGGUAGGAGAGCGUUCUAAGGGCGUUGAAGCAUGAUCGUAAGGACAUGUGGAGCGCUUAGAAGUGAGAAUGCCGGUGUGAGUAGCGAAAGACGGGUGAGAAUCCCGUCCACCGAUUGACUAAGGUUUCCAGAGGAAGGCUCGUCCGCUCUGGGUUAGUCGGGUCCUAAGCUGAGGCCGACAGGCGUAGGCGAUGGAUAACAGGUUGAUAUUCCUGUACCACCUAUAAUCGUUUUAAUCGAUGGGGGGACGCAGUAGGAUAGGCGAAGCGUGCGAUUGGAUUGCACGUCUAAGCAGUAAGGCUGAGUAUUAGGCAAAUCCGGUACUCGUUAAGGCUGAGCUGUGAUGGGGAGAAGACAUUGAGUCUUCGAGUCGUUGAUUUCACACUGCCGAGAAAAGCCUCUAGAUAGAAAAUAGGUGCCCGUACCGCAAACCGACACAGGUAGUCAAGAUGAGAAUUCUAAGGUGAGCGAGCGAACUCUCGUUAAGGAACUCGGCAAAAUGACCCCGUAACUUCGGGAGAAGGGGUGCUCUUUAGGGUUAACGCCCAGAAGAGCCGCAGUGAAUAGGCCCAAGCGACUGUUUAUCAAAAACACAGGUCUCUGCUAAACCGUAAGGUGAUGUAUAGGGGCUGACGCCUGCCCGGUGCUGGAAGGUUAAGAGGAGUGGUUAGCUUCUGCGAAGCUACGAAUCGAAGCCCCAGUAAACGGCGGCCGUAACUAUAACGGUCCUAAGGUAGCGAAAUUCCUUGUCGGGUAAGUUCCGACCCGCACGAAAGGCGUAACGAUUUGGGCACUGUCUCAACGAGAGACUCGGUGAAAUCAUAGUACCUGUGAAGAUGCAGGUUACCCGCGACAGGACGGAAAGACCCCGUGGAGCUUUACUGUAGCCUGAUAUUGAAAUUCGGCACAGCUUGUACAGGAUAGGUAGGAGCCUUUGAAACGUGAGCGCUAGCUUACGUGGAGGCGCUGGUGGGAUACUACCCUAGCUGUGUUGGCUUUCUAACCCGCACCACUUAUCGUGGUGGGAGACAGUGUC
Molecule: ribosomal RNA, 2211 nt
Filed under: Staphylococcus aureus
Lineage: Bacteria; Bacillati; Bacillota; Bacilli; Caryophanales; Staphylococcaceae
Description: partial 23S ribosomal RNA
Rfam family: Bacterial large subunit ribosomal RNA
Source: RNAcentral